AUGGACUCAAUUCUUUCUAAUGGAACUUGGGAACUAACUGAUAGACCAUAUGGUUGUAAACCUGUGGGCUGUAAGUGGGUGUUCAAAAAGAAGCUAAAGCCUGAUGGUACUAUUGAUAAGUACAAGGCGCGGCUAGUGGCCAAGGGCUACACUCAGAAAGAAGGCGAAGAUUACUUUGACACCUAUUCACCCGUUGCUAGAAUGACCACCAUUCGAGUGUUACUUUCCUUGGCUGACUCUUAUGGUCUUAUCAUUCAUCAAAUGGAUGUAAAGACAGCUUUUCUCAAUGGAGAGUUGGAAGAGGAGAUCUAUAUGGAUAAGCCUGACGGGUUUGUGGUAAAGGGUGAAGAGAGAAAGGUGUGCAAGUUGUUAAAAUCUUUGUAUGGUCUGAAACAGGCACCUAAGCAAUGGCAUGAGAAGUUUGAAAGAACUCUGACUUCUGCAGGAUUUGUCAUUAACGAGGCUGAUAGGUGUGUUUACUAUCGCCAUGGUGGGGGCAAUAGUGUCAUAUUAUGUUUGUAUGUGGACGACAUACUGAUCUUUGGUACAAACAUUAAUGCAAUUAAUGAGGGUGUAAUUCUAAACAUCAAACUUAUUAAGGAUGAGAGUGGGAUUACAUUAACGUAA
Molecule: ribosomal RNA, 627 nt
Filed under: Triticum aestivum (bread wheat)
Lineage: Eukaryota; Viridiplantae; Streptophyta; Magnoliopsida; Poales; Poaceae
Description: partial small subunit ribosomal RNA
Source: RNAcentral